CCGUUGCACACGAGUCAGUCGAUCCUAAGCCCUAGGAGAAAUCCGAUACUAACGGCGAUGGGAAAUACUUUUUUCUGAGACGGAAGCCCAUUGAUCGGGCGAAAGGGAAUCCGGUUCCUAUUCCGGAACCCGGCAGCGGAACCGUUGUUUGUCGGGCCCUCACAAGGGGUUCGUCAGGGUAACCUAAAAGGGCCCGGAGACGCCGUCGGGAGCCCCGGAAAGAGUUUUCUUUUCUGCAUGAGCGUUCGAGUUCCCUGGAAUCCUCUCGCAGGGAGAUAGGGUUUGGAACGCGA
RNAcentral lists this ribosomal RNA (293 nucleotides) under Epiophlebia superstes. Its description in RNAcentral is "partial 28S ribosomal RNA". It matches the Rfam family "Eukaryotic large subunit ribosomal RNA", at positions 1521 to 1759 of the family's 3401-position model. Lineage: Eukaryota; Metazoa; Arthropoda; Insecta; Odonata; Epiophlebiidae. RNAcentral also lists the same sequence under 1 other name. The record is from RNAcentral.